Long non-coding RNA from Mercenaria mercenaria, 415 nucleotides. RefSeq lists it as uncharacterized. The record is from RefSeq and is a predicted model, not a curated record. The transcript has 3 exons. Lineage: Eukaryota; Metazoa; Mollusca; Bivalvia; Venerida; Veneridae.
AAAAUAACUUUUAAAUGGACACUGGAUAAAGUAUGAGGUGUGUAUAUGCAGUACCUGACAUAUGCCAAAACACACAUAGAUAAAAUUAUGAGGCAUGAGACAUUUUUGGCUUCAGUGAUUUACACUUUGUAGAGUGAAUGGUGCUCACAGAGAAACCCUAUUGAUGUGUAAACUUUUUGAUGGUAUACACCUCUUGACUUGAUGGCAAAUAGUGGGAAACAGUGGCAUUCUCCAUGCUGGUUAGUGGAGAAUGGUGGAGAAAUAUCCAUGGCAAAUAGUGGCAUUUAGAGAAAAACAGUGGCAUAUUUUACACUGAUUGCCACAACAGUUAUGGUGGCAAAUAGUGGAAAAUUUUAGUGGCAAAUGGUGAAAUACGUUCCAAUACUCCACUGAUAGUGGCAUUCAAUGGAAAACA